This is a microRNA precursor of Gossypium arboreum, 144 nucleotides long. It matches the Rfam family "MIR7502 microRNA precursor family". The record is from Rfam. Lineage: Eukaryota; Viridiplantae; Streptophyta; Magnoliopsida; Malvales; Malvaceae.
UAUUAAAAUUUUUAUCCAUUUGUACGGUUAAAAGCUAGCAUGACUAACGGAUAAUCACAGUGACAUGUGUCGUGUCAUGUAUGCCUUAUAUUGACACGUAUACAGAUUAAUUUUUAACAGUAUAAAUAGAUGAAAUUUGUAACA